This 431-nucleotide long non-coding RNA is filed under the name Lathyrus oleraceus (garden pea). RNAcentral's name for it is "Pisum sativum (pea) long non-coding RNA (PSAT_LNC026975)". Lineage: Eukaryota; Viridiplantae; Streptophyta; Magnoliopsida; Fabales; Fabaceae. The record is from RNAcentral.
ACAUUUCUAAACAUGUCUUCUUCCAUACUUUACCAUUCUAAACCAUAGACUAACAUAAACCCACACCAAAUCAUGUGAUUAUGAGUUAUAGCUUCAAGAAUCAACACCACAACAUAAACCCCAAUCCGUCACAAAACACCAAGAACAACAUGUAUUAUCACAAUAAGCAAAGAUAAGUAUGGACAUCAACAAAUUUCAUGGUUCAAUACACACAAAAUCCUAACCUAGUCUUUUCAUGCUUCUUCCCUCCAAAGCUAACUAUCUAUGGACCUCACCUUGAAUCAAGAAGAUGGUGAAGAUGAGGAAGAAGAUGAGAUGAUGGUGGUGGUGAUGGUGGUUCCAUGGCUUCAUUCCUCUUUCUCUUUUCUUCUUCCUUUCUCCCUUCUCCUCUUUUCCUCUUUCCUUUCUCUCUUUACUAGUUUUUCUUUCUU